This is a long non-coding RNA of Acinonyx jubatus (cheetah), 717 nucleotides long. RefSeq lists it as uncharacterized. The transcript has 3 exons. NCBI's taxonomy places the organism in Eukaryota, Metazoa, Chordata, Mammalia, Carnivora, Felidae. The record is from RefSeq and is a predicted model, not a curated record.
CUGAGCCUCUCGGACUCGGGGAGGGCUCCGGGCAGCCGUGCCAACCAAGCAUGGGUUUUCCGAUGAGGCAGCUGAGUCCACGCAUCCACAGACUUAGUUUUCUAUGAUCUCCUGUUACGGGUUGAGUUUUGUCCCCCCCGAUUCAUGUGAAGUCCUAACUCCCAGCCCCUCAGAACGCAACCUUAUUUGGAGAUAGGGUCUUUGCAGAGGGCAAUGCAUCUACGGGCCAGCGAACAUCGAAGAUGCCAGCCAACCACCAUAAGCCGGGGGAGAAGCCAGGCCCUGAUUCUCCCCCACAGCCCUCAGGAGGAAAUAACCUUGCUGACGCCCUGAUCUUGGACUUCCAGACCUCACAGCUGGGAGACAAUACAUUUCUUCGUUGAAGCCACUCAGUUGGUGCUGCUUUGUUACGGCAACCCUAGCAAGCGAAUGAUCGUUUUACAAAUGAGCGAAACCAAGAUUAUGAAGUGACUUUCCCAAGGUUACCUGGGCACAGUGGACCUCUUGGGUGCUUAUUUUCUCUGCCGUUUUUAAAUGCGGAUAUCCACCUCUGUCCCCCACCUCCCCACCCCCAAUCCUGUGCCCUCGGCUCUCUGGGUGCUUAUCCAUCCAUACGUCUUUGAGGCAGACAAUGUUGUGAGCACAGGGGCCCGGCAGGAGAACAAACAAUAGACACAGGCCCCGCCUACCCCCCCCCCCAGCCCCCAAUGGGGAACA